RNAcentral lists this long non-coding RNA (629 nucleotides) under Citrus x clementina. RNAcentral's name for it is "Citrus clementina (C. clementina) long non-coding RNA (CCLE_LNC002701)". The record is from RNAcentral. Lineage: Eukaryota; Viridiplantae; Streptophyta; Magnoliopsida; Sapindales; Rutaceae.
AUCCAUAUAAAAUUGAAAAUAAAGUCAAAUCUUAUGAAAUAAAAUUUAAUCAAUAACUCCUACAUGUCUAGUUUUCAGAAAUAUAAAGUUCUUAAGAAAAAUCAUCUAGAAAAAUAUAUGUUUAAAUUCGAGAUACUCAUAUUGUCCAGAAUUUGUCCAGUGUGCUUAAUACACCAAGGGUUGAUUAUUAAAACCCACAAUAAAUCAAAACCCUAAACAAUACCUAAACACACCUUAAAUUAUGUAUUAUAAUCUGUAUCAAUCUAAAAUCAUGCUAAUAUAAACCCUACAUAGAGUGAUUAGAAAUCUCAUGGAGAAUAAGGAGAGCAAACUUAACAAUUGCUUUGAUUCUCUCCUAAACAAAUGUUUUAAUUCCUAGGUUGGAUUGAAAUGAAAGGGGGUUAGGGGGAAUUUAUAGGAUUCCUUAAGGCUAAUGGAUGGCUAGAAUUUUGCCACCACAACUCUUGAUCAGUGGUUGAAAUUAUCCUUCAUAAAUACCUUACUAGUUUCUAGAAUUCUUAUAUAUCCCUACAACUUUCUUAUAUCAUCACUUAUGUCAUAGAUUAUGUCAUUAUUACUUAGUCAUUGCAUCAUCACUUAUGUCAUUACUUCUCUUAAAAUUAAAUAUU